GCCACCCAAGGCCCUCCCCCCGGAGGAAGCAGCAACGCGGACUCUCCAGCCAAAACAGCGGCUCCUGCCAUAGCUGAGGUGGCGGAGGGCCCAGGAGACGUUCCGAAAAUCACUUACACAAAAGAGUAUACGCUGGAUGAUCUCACUGCUACGAACGUCUAGAGUGGGAACGCUGUCUAUCACAGACACACAUCGAAACAGUGGCUGCUCAGGGGGUGAGACAUGUUUUUAAAAAGAGGACGAAAACUGUGAACAAAUAUUCAACUCUUCAAUGACAAGCACGCUGAAAUAUUUAGG
This is a long non-coding RNA of Eptesicus fuscus (big brown bat), 297 nucleotides long. RefSeq lists it as uncharacterized. Lineage: Eukaryota; Metazoa; Chordata; Mammalia; Chiroptera; Vespertilionidae. The transcript has 3 exons. The record is from RefSeq and is a predicted model, not a curated record.